RNAcentral lists this ribosomal RNA (465 nucleotides) under uncultured bacterium. RNAcentral describes it as "partial 16S ribosomal RNA". It matches the Rfam family "Bacterial small subunit ribosomal RNA", at positions 338 to 795 of the family's 1533-position model. The record is from RNAcentral.
CCUACGGGAGGCAGCAGUGGGGAAUUUUGCGCAAUGCUCGUAAGAGUGACGCAGCGACGCCGCGUGAAUGACGAAGGCCUUCGGGUCGUAAAGUUCUUUCGACAGGGAAGAAAAUGCAUAUACGUAACUGUGUAUGUAUUGACGGUACCUGUAUAAGCAGCCCCGGCUAACUCCGUGCCAGCAGCCGCGGUAAUACGGAGGGGGCGAGCGUUGUUUGGAGUGGCUGGGCGUAAAGAGCACGUGGGCGGGGUUGUAAGUCAUUAGUCAAAGACUAGAGCUCAACUUUAGUAAGGCUAGUGAUACUAUAAUACUAGAGUAUGAGAGAGGAUUGCAGAAUGCCUGGUGUAGCGGUGAAAUGCGUAGAUAUCAGGAGGAAUACUGAUAGCGAAGGCGGCAAACUGGCUGGAAACUGACGCUGAGGUGCGAAAGCGUGGGUAGCAAACAGGAUUAGAUACCCCUGUAGUC